This 232-nucleotide unclassified non-coding RNA is filed under the name Hevea brasiliensis (rubber tree). Lineage: Eukaryota; Viridiplantae; Streptophyta; Magnoliopsida; Malpighiales; Euphorbiaceae. The record is from RNAcentral.
UGUUUUUUUUUGUCCACAAAAUCAAACCAAUUUAAGAAGCAUACUGUUUCAAUGGAACUUGAGAAACUCCUCACAACCAAAACCCAAAGCUGAACACCCCCGGUCCCCCAGCCAGCGACUUAUUUUUAUACAAUGCAUACACAACAAUUUUUUCAGAGUACUCAAUCAAAACUUGCAUUGAUCACUCUCUUCCAAUCCGAUUCGUUAGAUUGAAAUGUCCAUCAUGUCCACC